UUUUAGGGGCAAUUCAGAAAUGCAGGCAAAAAGAAGAAAAUGAAAAUUAUUCAUAAACCUGCCACUCAAAGAUAGCCACUGUUUAUCAGAAGGUACUUUUUUGUUUGCGUUUUGGGGAUUGACUCCAAGGCCUUCACACUGUGCUACAGCCCCAUCCCUUUUGUUUGUUUGUUUGUUUUUCCUUUUUUUCCUUUUUUAUAUUGAGGCAGAGUCUUGCUAAGCUGUGCAAUUGUCCAGGAUAGGCUCGAAAUUUUGAUCCUCUUGCCUCAGCGUACCAGAGUGCUGAGAUAACAUGCAUGUGCUACCAUACCCAGCUCAGAAAGUACUUUUUAUUUGAUUCCAGAAGAACAUGUAAUUGUAGAUAAAAACCUCAUAUUUUAUUUAUUUCUAGUACAAAUUUGUUGGAUACCAUGGAAUCAAAGAUAAAUAAAAUGGGAGAUAGGGAUGUAGCUCGGUGGUAGAGCACUUGCCUAGCAUACUCAAGGCCCUGGGUUCCAUAAUCAGCACUGAAGAAGAAAAAAGAACAUAAGAUGAGCUAAUGGAACAUUGUGUAAACUUAGUUCUGAAUGAAAGCUUAUACAUGUUUCAAUUUGAUUUGGACUCUAAGGACCAGCACUUACUACAUUAGAUCCUCUUUGCUUCCUCUAUUCUUAGAAAGUACUUCUGCACAUUCAAACUGAUUUGUAGUGACAGAAAGCUAACUAAAACUACCUUAUGGAAUGAAAGGAGAUUUAUUGGUUCAUUUAACUGGUGAGAGCAGAGGUGAAACUAAUUGCAGGGUAAACUAAAUUCAGGGAUUUAAUGUUAUCUUGCUUUCCAUUUCUCCUUUCCUAGAUUUAUUUCCUCCCGCCUAUAGGCAUUAGGAGUCAAAGUCACAGGCAGUUCCAGACUUAAAUCAUCUCUGUGAUCUUAGAGAUUGGCAGGUUGGCCAGGCCUGAGUCAGGUUAUCUUCUUGUGGUCUUAGGGAUAGUGCACUGUCUUAAUUCCCUUUCUCAUUGCUGAGACAAAAUACCCAACAGUAUCAGCCUCCAAAAUGCUGGGAUCACCAGCAUGCACCACUAUACCUAGUGUGAGACUUUUUUUUUUUUGAGACUAUUAAGAGAUUAAGUCUCACUGUGUUGCCCAGGCUCUUCUGGAACUCCUGUGCUCAAGUGAUCCUUCUGCCUCAGCCUCCUGAGUAGCUGGGAUUACAGGUGUGUACCACCAUACCUGGCUUACAGCAGUGUUUUAAGUUACCUAAAGUUAAAGCUUAUUUUCCCAAAACUGAUUUUGCAGUAGCAUAAAAAAUUUUAUUAUGAGAGUAUAUCUAGCUAGCUGAAGAGAACAGAAGGAAGUACACUAGUAAUACUAAUUUUCAUAUAAUUUGCUACAGACAGAAAUGCUUUAAAAGGUGCCUUAAUAUUUUAUAAAAACUAAAUUUUGUUCCUUUGAAUGAAUAAUCUCACUCUGCAGAACCUAGAAAUAAAAUGAAAGUCACCCUCAAUGUCCCAUUGUGCUUCAAUAUGUGAAAAGAAAUGCUUUAAAUAUCAUAGAAGGAGAAGUAUUAACAUGGUUACCCUAACACCAAUACCCUAAAACUUCUUUUUGGUUGUUUUCUUGAGACAGGGUCUCACAUUAUAGCCCAGGCCACCCUCUACCUGCCUUAGCCUCCUGAGUGCUGGGGUUACAAGUGUGUACCACCACACCUAGCCUGAGAUCCUAAAAUAUUUUUGUCAUACAAUUUCUGUAGGAACAUUAAGGGUGCCUAAUUCAGGACAGUAAAACUCAGCUUCAUCUUACCUCAGCAUUCCUUUAGUCCUGCACACCUUGUCUAUCUCUCCUGAUAUCUACCCCCCCCACCCCAUCAAACAUGGCACAUACUGUGAUCCCAGCUACUCAGGAGGCUGAGGCAGGAGCAAGUUCUAGGCCACCCUAGGCAACUUAGAGCCUGUUUCAAAAUUUAAAAAGGGCUAGGGAGGUAGCUCAGUGUUACAGUGCCCCUGGGUUCAACACACAGUAACACACAACACACACAGUAGUUGUGCACACCUAGUAGGCUGAAGCAGGAGGAUCACAAGUUCUGGGCCAGCCUGGGAAUUUUGAUAAGACUGUGUCUCAAAAUGAAAAUAGGACUAGGAUGUAGCUCAGCAUUCUCUAGGUUCAGUACCUACUCAGUACCAUGAAAACCAGCCCCUUCCAUUAGGGGGCUGUGAGAGGGUAGGGGUGUGGCUCAAUGAUAGAGCACUUGCUAGGCAUGCAUGUUGCCCUGGGUUUAAUCCCCAACACCACGAAAACAAACAUUAAAUUAUCCAGGUAGCAGUUUAUACUUGUCUACUCUUUCCAUGACCUGAGAAAAUAGAGGUAAUUAAAUUUACUCUGGUAUUUUACAUAUUAGAGAAUACUUCAUUUUUUUCCACUUUAAAUGUUUAAAUUAAUCUUAGGGCUGCUGAUUUAUCUCAGUGGUUCCGGUGCUUGCCUCGAAAGCCCAAGAUCCCAAGUUUGAUACCCGGUACCAAAAAAAAAAGAUAAAGAAUAAACUAAUCCCACAUGACUUCAUUCUCUUAAAAAUAAUAAAUAAAGGGCUGGGGAUUUAGCUCAGUGGUUCCAGCGCCUGCCUUGCAAGUGCAAGGACCCGAGUUCAAUCCCUGGUACCAAUCAAUCAAUCAAUCAAUCAAUCAAUAUGGGGGGCUCAGUUUACUGAAAGUCUAAGAUUAUCAAGUUACUCUGCUCAACUGUCCAAUUCAUAGUUUCAAGAUCUGCAAAGAGAGCUCUACCCUUUUUUUUGUGGUAUUGUGGCUUGAACCCAGGGCCACCUUUGUUUAUUUAUUUAUUGAGACAAUGUCUUGGAGGAUUGUCUGAACUGGGCUUGAACUUGCAAUCUUCCUGCUUCAGCCUCCCAGAGGGCGAGGAUUGCAGGCAUGAGUCACCACACCUGGCCAUAGCUCUUCUUUACAUUGAAUAGCAAUUACACCACUGCCCUUAUCCUAAUUUUUUUUAAGUAAACAAAAAUGGCAUUGAUGCACUUUUGGAUUACUUUGUUCUACUUUUUAAAGUAGAUAAAGUGAUAGUAUUCCAAUAACUCAAGAAAAACAGAUUAGAAAAUUAGAAACCAUAGUAACAUAAAACAUUGAAAACUUUUAGCAUAACCAAAUAAAAUUUUAUCAUGAAUAAUUAUACGAAUUACCAGUAUCCAAAAUUCACUGAAGUUAUCCAAUUACAAAAAGGAAUAUUAAAGAGGAAUCAAAUAUCUUAAUGUAUCAAAGGUCUCACAUGGUAUAAUAGUACAGUGAGCAUGCCUUUUUAUGUUCAUACUAACUAAUCAGUUUUAAUUGGUAUAAUUACUACUUUGCUCUUCUACUAUUCAUUGUUGCUGAAUACAUAAUUUCAUCACAGGUUAUAAUUCAUUCUUUGGCAGUAUGUUAGUUGCAAACCCAGCAUUUUCAAUACAUGUUUCCUUUUACAGAAUUUGUAUUAUAAAGAAUGCAGUGUAAAUCCCUCUACUUCAGUGUUUAAAACUUGAUAGUUUCGGCUGGACACAGAGGCCCACUCCUGUAAUACCAGCAUUCUGGGAGGCUGAGGCAGGAGGAUCACAGGUUUCAUUCCUGCCCGGGCAAUUUAGCAAGACUCUUGAAGGAGAGAGAUUGAGAAGGAGGAGGAGGAGGAAAGGAGGGGGAGAAGGAGGAAGUAAAGGAAGGAAGGAAGGGCAACCAAGUGGGGCAUAGUGGUGUACACUUUAGAAUCCUUGCACUCUGGAUUACACUGAGGCAGGAUAGCCACAAGUUCAAGGUCAGCCUGGGUUACACAGAGAGUUCACAGCCAGUGUGAACUACAUUGUGAGACCCUGUCUCAGAAAAAUCAGAGAAGAAAAAUGAAGGAAAAGGCUGUGAAUGUGAUUUAGUGUGAAGGUCCUAAAUCAUCAUUACUCUCUGGGGCAUAACACAUUUUUUGUCUUAAAGGUGCAUAAACAUAGGUGUGUCAAACACAAGUUUAUUCUUUAGAAUAGUUCUAUUGAUGAACUAUUAAUUUUAAUUUUAUGAGUUUUAUGAGUGCUUAACAGGAAAAAAUCACAAAUAUAAAGUAUUUCAUUUUUAAUAUUUAUUGAGUGUUUAUAAAAAAGCAUCAAAAAUUUCAACAUCAACUGGUUUUUGGUGUACAAAGUCUAAAAGAUAACAUUAGAAAUAAAAACCUAUGUGAACUAUAGUGAAAAUACCAAUGGCACGCUAUAAAAAAAAACAACCGGAGCCAGGGAUUUAGCUCAGUGGUUCCGGUGCCUGCCACACAAGCUCAAGGUCCUGAGUUUGAUCCCUGGUACCAAAAAAAAAAAAAAAAAACUUUUACUUCAGUGAUCACACCUAAAUCAGUCUUCAUACAUGACAACAGCACGUUCCAUACACAUGUAUUGUUUACACUGGUAGCACAUGUAUUUUGCUUUCCUGGCCUUUUUGUAGGACAUACUUGACAUCUUUCUGGUCUUGCUGUUUAAUCAGGAGGUUCUUGUAUUAUAGUAUAGUUAACAGGAACAUAAAAUAUCAAUAAAAUGAAGUAUUAAAUUCUUAAUGUGUAUUGUGCGUUUAGAAUAAACAACAUUUUCACAUCAGCUGUUUAGUUGCUUAUAAAACCUAAAAGAUAACAUCAUAAAUAAAAACCUAUGUGAACUACAAUGGAAAUA
Molecule: transfer RNA, 4648 nt
Filed under: Heterocephalus glaber (naked mole-rat)
Lineage: Eukaryota; Metazoa; Chordata; Mammalia; Rodentia; Bathyergidae
Description: lncRNA (ENSHGLG00100041515.1)
Rfam family: tRNA (bases 2199-2270)
Source: RNAcentral